This 58-nucleotide small RNA is filed under the name Caenorhabditis elegans. RNAcentral describes it as "Unclassified non-coding RNA T13H10.5". Lineage: Eukaryota; Metazoa; Nematoda; Chromadorea; Rhabditida; Rhabditidae. The record is from RNAcentral.
GAUCAAAAAUACCUCAAAAAAAGUUUCUGUGCGUACGGAAUAAAAACAAAUAAAAAUU